This 595-nucleotide ribosomal RNA is filed under the name Gelidiopsis sp. ARS-2011. RNAcentral describes it as "eukaryotic LSU rRNA". It matches the Rfam family "Eukaryotic large subunit ribosomal RNA", at positions 1284 to 1899 of the family's 3401-position model. Lineage: Eukaryota; Rhodophyta; Florideophyceae; Rhodymeniales; Lomentariaceae. The record is from RNAcentral.
AACAACUCACCUGCCGAAUGGAUUAGCCCUGAAAAUGGAUGGCGCUGAAGCGGGCAGCCGAUACCACGCCGUCUGUUUUAGUGAAUGGAACAGAUGAGUAGGAGGGCGUGGAGGUCGUAUCGAAGCAUGCGUGCGAACGUGUGUGGAACGGCCUCUAGUGCAGAUCUUGGUGGUAGUAGCAAAUAUUCAAGCGAGAUCCUUGAAGGGCGAAGCGGGGAAGGGUUCCACGCGAACAUUGAUUGGGCGUGGGUGAGUCGUUCCUAAGCCGCGUGGUAAUAGCUAUCAAACGGCGAAAGGGAAGCGGGUUGAAAUUCCCGCACACGGAUGUGGAGGCGGCGACGCUUUAUUGAGAUGAGCCCGUCGGCGGUUGCACUGGGCAGAGAUGUCUUUUCUGUUUAACCAGCUCGCGCGCUGUGUGGAAUCCGAUUAUCGGGAGAAAAACGCGUACCGGGUAAGAGCGCCGGGACUUUUCCGGCGUCCAGCUCGCGACCGACGGCCCUUGAAAACUUAUCUACUGCAAUAAAAUCCACGCCGUGGCGUACCGAUAACCGCAUCAGGUCCCCAAGGUGAACAGCCUCUGCCUAAUAUGAACAAU